This 415-nucleotide ribosomal RNA is filed under the name uncultured bacterium. RNAcentral's name for it is "bacterial SSU rRNA". It matches the Rfam family "Bacterial small subunit ribosomal RNA", at positions 355 to 787 of the family's 1533-position model. The record is from RNAcentral.
UGGGGAAUAUUGCACAAUGGGGGAAACCCUGAUGCAGCGACGCCGCGUGAGCGAUGAAGUAUUUCGGUAUGUAAAGCUCUAUCAGCAGGGAAGAAAAUGACGGUACCUGACUAAGAAGCCCCGGCUAACUACGUGCCAGCAGCCGCGGUAAUACGUAGGGGGCAAGCGUUAUCCGGAUUUACUGGGUGUAAAGGGAGCGUAGACGGAGAGGCAAGUCUGGAGUGAAAACCCGGGGCUCAACCCCGGGACUGCUUUGGAAACUGUUUUUCUAGAGUGUCGGAGAGGUAAGUGGAAUUCCUAGUGUAGCGGUGAAAUGCGUAGAUAUAUGGAGGAACACCAGUGGCGAAGGCGGUCGCCUGGUCUGUAACUGACACUGAUGCACGAAAGCGUGGGGAGCAAAUAGGAUUAGAUACCC